UGCAGAAUCCCGUGAACCAUCGAGUCUUUGAACGCAAGUUGCGCCCGAAGCCAUUAGGUCGAGGGCACGCCUGCCUGGGCGUCACGC
This 87-nucleotide ribosomal RNA is filed under the name Lesia savannarum. RNAcentral describes it as "partial 5.8S ribosomal RNA". It matches the Rfam family "5.8S ribosomal RNA", at positions 73 to 154 of the family's 154-position model. Rfam says of the family: 5.8S ribosomal RNA (5.8S rRNA) is a component of the large subunit of the eukaryotic ribosome. It is transcribed by RNA polymerase I as part of the 45S precursor that also contains 18S and 28S rRNA. Lineage: Eukaryota; Viridiplantae; Streptophyta; Magnoliopsida; Lamiales; Gesneriaceae. The record is from RNAcentral.